This 272-nucleotide ribosomal RNA is filed under the name uncultured bacterium. Its description in RNAcentral is "partial 16S ribosomal RNA". It matches the Rfam family "Bacterial small subunit ribosomal RNA", at positions 524 to 794 of the family's 1533-position model. The record is from RNAcentral.
GACGAACCGUCCCAAACGUUAUUCGGAAUUACUGGGCUUAAAGGGUGCGUAGGCGGCGCGGUAAGUUGGGUGUGAAAUCCCUCGGCUCAACCGAGGAAUUGCGCUUGAUACUGCCGUGCUCGAGGGAGACAGAGGUGAGCGGAACUUAGGGUGGAGCGGUGAAAUGCGUUGAUAUCCUAAGGAACACCAGUGGCGAAAGCGGCUCACUGGGUCUCUUCUGACGCUGAGGCACGAAAGCUAGGGGAGCGAACGGGAUUAGAUACCCUUGUAGU